ACGGUUUUUGAUCAAGCUAGGCUAGACUGACGAUAGAUCAAUAUAUAUCUGAAAGUAUUUGGGGGUUUUUUCAUCCCAGCGUCUCUUUUGCUCCCGAAGACCCCAUUUGCACAGCAGGUGAAAUCAUGGAUGGUUUGCUUAAGGAAAUAAGAAGCAAGGACCAAGCAGCCGCCUCUGUACUGGAACAGGCGGAUUUACGCAGUGACUCAGAUCUCCAGUCACUGACUUUACAAGACCUGGGUUUGCUGUUCCCUGGAGUUAAAAAUGUCAAACUGAGAAGGGAUAUCUUUGAUAUAAUACACAAGCAGAAAUCAAUUGGUGAGCUCAUAGAAAAAUCCAAGCACUUCAUCCCACAUGACUCUCUCAGGGCUGCCUUAACUGAAAAUGGAGUUUUGGUCGACUACCUGAAAAUGUUGAAGGAAAUGAAGACCCAAAUGAAUAAAGAUUUCCUUGAUCCGCAUAUCAAUCUACUGGAGGACUUCAGGAAAUCUCAACCAUCGCAGGACCAGGACAAAGGUGAAAUCAUGGAUAUUUUGCUUAAGGAAAUAAGACGCAAGGAUGAAGUGGCAGCCAAUAAACUGGAAGUGUAGCGAGGGAUGCCCAGACCUCUACAUUGGAGAGACCAAACAGCCACUUCACAAGCGCAUGGCACAACACAGAAGAGCCACCUCCAUGGGACAAGACUGGGCGAUCCAUUUGCAUCUAAAGGAUAAAGGACACUCUUUCGAGGAUGCCAAUGUUCACAUUUUGGACAGAGAGGACAGCUGGUUUGAAAGAGGAGUGAAAAAAGCCAUUUAUGUCCACUGUGAGCGA
Long non-coding RNA from Astatotilapia calliptera (eastern happy), 813 nucleotides. The record is from Ensembl. Lineage: Eukaryota; Metazoa; Chordata; Actinopteri; Cichliformes; Cichlidae.